CCAGCACAGCUCCCAGGAUAGCCCUUCCGCAGGCUCGGGAGGAAGGGAACCCCCAGCACCUAGAAAGCCUUGCUCCUUUGAGUUUACAGAGCGCUUAGGAAGCAGUUAGCCCAAAGUCCAGGAUAACUUUCCUCCCAGCCCUUGGGGACGGGUGCUGGUAAACUCCCGUGCUUCGGAGGAGGGAGCUGUCAGGGCCCUAACGCUGGAGCAACAGCAGCCCCUGGUCCUGGGGACUCCAUGUUGGCUUCCUGGAGCACACGGCCCGAAACUGCCUCUGAACGCGAUCCCUGAAGACUUCCGUCUUCCCCGCGAGGGUCAGUGCUUUGCCUGGCAGAACCGAGAGAGCGCUUGGUCGUCGGAUCACUGCGCGUGGAAGAGAUGGAAGCUAUCUCCUAAUUCUCCGUCUUUCACACGGAUGAAGAAACAGAUAGCUAGAGAGGAGCAGUGAUUUGUUCAAGCUCUUGCAACUAUGGAGUGGACAGGGUGUGCUCAGGCCUGGGGUGUGUCACCCUCUGCUCUGUGGAGCUUCUUAGGCCUUCCCUGGAAGAAACAGCAUGGUUCCUGGGGACCUCUGUGUGACAGUAACCCGGAGUUCUUGCUUUCCCCUGGGUAUUUCUUUGGUGUUCCAGCUUUGGUUUAAAAAUAUAAUGUUUUUUGCAUUUACCUUAUUUUAGAGUUGUUUGGAUAUUAAACUCCUUCUUUGAUCACUGUCACUUGACAUUGGCUCCAACAAGAUGCUCAGCAUUUAACCCCGCAGCCAUGCUGCUGGGGCCCCCGAGGCAGCACAUCCAGUGUGAGAAGCUCAGCUAAUACAUUCUCAGGCUGCUGUUUUCCAACAGUGCUGAUGGCGGUGGUGAGAUUGGCGGAGAUCCGAGGUUCCCGCGUAUCAAGGAAGAUUUCCUAAAGGAGGGAAGACAGAGCUGAGUAGGGGUUCGUGGAGGGGCCUUGAGGUCCGG
Molecule: long non-coding RNA, 956 nt
Filed under: Heterocephalus glaber (naked mole-rat)
Lineage: Eukaryota; Metazoa; Chordata; Mammalia; Rodentia; Bathyergidae
Description: lncRNA (ENSHGLG00100042255.1)
Source: RNAcentral